GAUGAACGCUGGCGGCGUGCCUAACACAUGCAAGUCGAGCGAAGCGCCUUACUUGAUUUCUUCGGGAUGAAAGUAUUGUGACUGAGCGGCGACGGGUGAGUACGCGUGGAUAACCUGCCUCAUACAGGGGGAUAACAGUUAGAAAUGACUGCUAAUACCGCAUAAGACCACAGCACCGCAUGGUGCAGGGGUAAAAGGAGCAAUUCGCUUCAGGAUGGCCUCGCGUCCAAUUAGGUAGAUGGUGAGGUAACGGCCCACCAUGCCGACGAUUGGUAGCCGGACUGAGAGGUUGAACGGCCACAUUGGGACUGAGACACGGCCCAG
Molecule: ribosomal RNA, 324 nt
Filed under: uncultured bacterium
Lineage: Bacteria
Description: bacterial SSU rRNA
Rfam family: Bacterial small subunit ribosomal RNA
Source: RNAcentral